CCUACGGGAGGCAGCAGUAGGGAAUCUUUCACAAUGGGCGAAAGCCUGAUGGAGCAACGCCGCGUGCAGGAUGAAGGCCUUCGGGUUGUAAACUGCUUUUAUAAGCGAGAAAUAUGAUGGUAACUUAUGAAUAAGGAUCGGCUAACUACGUGCCAGCAGCCGCGGUAAUACGUCGGUGGCAAGCGUUAUCCGGAUUUACUGGGUGUAAAGGGCGUGUAGGCGGGAGUGCAAGUCAGAUGUGAAAACUAUGGGCUCAACCCAUAGCCUGCAUUUGAAACUGUACUUCUUGAGUGCUGGAGAGGCAAUCGGAAUUCGGGGUGUAGCGGUGAAAUGCGUAGAUAUACGGAGGAACACCAGUGGCGAAGGCGGAUUGCUGGACAGUAACUGACGCUGAGGCGCGAAAGCGUGGGGAGCAAACAGGAUUAGAUACCCCUGUAGUC
This 440-nucleotide ribosomal RNA is filed under the name uncultured bacterium. Its description in RNAcentral is "partial 16S ribosomal RNA". It matches the Rfam family "Bacterial small subunit ribosomal RNA", at positions 338 to 795 of the family's 1533-position model. The record is from RNAcentral.